Molecule: transfer RNA, 74 nt
Filed under: Candidatus Nomurabacteria bacterium RIFCSPHIGHO2_02_FULL_42_19
Lineage: Bacteria; Candidatus Nomuraibacteriota
Description: tRNA-Gly
Rfam family: tRNA
About the family: Transfer RNA (tRNA) molecules are approximately 80 nucleotides in length. Their secondary structure includes four short double-helical elements and three loops (D, anti-codon, and T loops). Further hydrogen bonds mediate the characteristic L-shaped molecular structure. tRNAs have two regions of fundamental functional importance: the anti-codon, which is responsible for specific mRNA codon recognition, and the 3' end, to which the tRNAs corresponding amino acid is attached (by aminoacyl-tRNA synthetases). tRNAs cope with the degeneracy of the genetic code in two manners: having more than one tRNA (with a specific anti-codon) for a particular amino acid; and 'wobble' base-pairing, i.e. permitting non-standard base-pairing at the 3rd anti-codon position.
Source: RNAcentral
GCGGUCAUGGUUUAGUGGUAGAACAUCUCCUUGCCAAGGAGGAGGCGCGGUUUCGAUUACCGCUGGCCGCACAA